GAUGAAGAACGCAGCGAAAUGUGAUAAGUAAUGUGAAUUGCAGAAUUCCGUGAAUCAUCGAAUCUUUGAACGCACAUUGCGCCCCCUGGCAUUCCGGGGGGCAUGCCUGUCCGAGCGUCAUUUCUGCCCUCCAGCCCGGCUGGGUGUUGGGCGCUGUCCCCCCGGGGACACGCCCCAAAGGCAGUGGCGGCGCCGCGUCGGGUCCUCGAGCGUAUGGGGCUUUGUCACCCGCUCGGGACGGACUCGUCGGCGCUGGUCUUCCUCCAGGCGACCCUUCGGGGCUCGUCUUCCUUCGGUUGACCUCGGAUCAGGAAGGGUUACCCGCUGAACUUAAGCAUAUCAAUAAGCGGAGGA
This 354-nucleotide unclassified non-coding RNA is filed under the name soil metagenome. RNAcentral's name for it is "partial contains 5.8S ribosomal RNA, internal transcribed spacer 2, and large subunit ribosomal RNA". The stretch from base 1 to 120 matches the Rfam family "5.8S ribosomal RNA", at positions 35 to 154 of the family's 154-position model. The record is from RNAcentral.